RNAcentral lists this ribosomal RNA (433 nucleotides) under uncultured bacterium. RNAcentral describes it as "partial 16S ribosomal RNA". It matches the Rfam family "Bacterial small subunit ribosomal RNA", at positions 29 to 507 of the family's 1533-position model. The record is from RNAcentral.
AACGAACGCUGGCGGCAUGCCUAACACAUGCAAGUCGAACGAGACCUUCGGGUCUAGUGGCGCACGGGUGCGUAACGCGUGGGAACCUGCCCUUAGGUUCGGAAUACCUCCCCGAAAGGGGUGCUAAUACCGGAUAAUGUCUUCGGACCUAAGAUUUCUCGCCUUUGGAUGGGCCCGCGUUGGAUUGGCGAGUUGGUAGGGUACAAGCCUGCCAAGGCGACGAUCCAUAGCUGGUCUGAGAGGAUGAUCAGCCACACUGGCACUGAGACACGGCCCAGACUCGUACGGAAGGGAGGAGUGGGGAAUAUUGGACAAGGGGCGAAGGCCUGAUCCAGCAAUGCCGCGUGAGUGGUGAAGGCCGUAGGGUUGUAAAGCUCUUUUACCCGGGAUGAUAAUGACAGUACCGGGAGAAGAAGCACCGGCUAACUCCGUG